GCAAGUGUGUUGAGCUUCCUGUUCCUCUGGAUCUUUAUUUUGUCUGAAACAGAAUUAUCAUAUGUUCCCCAUACCUGGAAUAUGGUCAUCUCCUAUGACAAUUCUAUAUAAAUCAAGAUGGAGGUGCAGAGGAACAGGAAGCACAAUACACUUGC
Non-coding RNA from Podarcis lilfordi (Lilford's wall lizard), 155 nucleotides. The record is from the annotation of a GenBank genome assembly. NCBI's taxonomy places the organism in Eukaryota, Metazoa, Chordata, Lepidosauria, Squamata, Lacertidae.